This 31-nucleotide non-coding RNA is filed under the name Mus musculus (house mouse). The record is from RNAcentral. Lineage: Eukaryota; Metazoa; Chordata; Mammalia; Rodentia; Muridae.
AUGGUGAACAAAGCAUGGUUAAUUAAGGUCU